CCAGAGAGAGGCCCUACCGGUCCCGACCUCCAACCCUGGCCCAUCGUACCCGUUGUUCGGGGCGACCCUGCCGUCGACGGCGCUGCGGCCCCCGGCGGUAUAUCAACACUGAACUCUUUGCGACAGCAUCCGGAAGUCUCUGAUCGAAUGACAAUAGUCA
RNAcentral lists this unclassified non-coding RNA (160 nucleotides) under soil metagenome. RNAcentral describes it as "partial internal transcribed spacer 1". The record is from RNAcentral.